GACGAACGCUGGCGGCGUGCUUAACACAUGCAAGUCGAACGGAAAGGCCCUGCUUUUGUGGGGUGCUCGAGUGGCGAACGGGUGAGUAACGCGUGAGUAACCUGCCCUUGACUUUGGGAUAACUUCAGGAAACUGGGGCUAAUACCGGAUAGGAGCUCCUGCUGCAUGGUGGGGGUUGGAAAGUUUCGGCGGUUGGGGAUGGACUCGCGGCUUAUCAGCUUGUUGGUGGGGUAGUGGCUUACCAAGGCUUUGACGGGUAGCCGGCCUGAGAGGGUGACCGGCCACAUUGGGACUGAGAUACGGCCCAGACUCCUACGGGAGGCAGCAGUGGGGAAUAUUGCACAAUGGGCGGAAGCCUGAUGCAGCAACGCCGCGUGCGGGAUGACGGCCUUCGGGUUGUAAACCGCUUUCGCCUGUGACGAAGCGUGGGUGACGGUAAUGGGUAAAGAAGCACCGGCUAACUACGUG
Molecule: ribosomal RNA, 468 nt
Filed under: uncultured bacterium
Lineage: Bacteria
Description: partial 16S ribosomal RNA
Rfam family: Bacterial small subunit ribosomal RNA
Source: RNAcentral